ACACGUCAAAAAAAUGAGCAAAUAAACAAGUACCCAAAAGCCCAAUAUAGAAGUGCAUCAAUUUGCAGGUGGAUCUGGACUCAGGGGCCCGAGAGGAAGGCAACGGGCUUCGGGCCGGGGCCAGCGGGGCCCACCAGGGGGCGGCCGCCCCCUAGGGUCGGCCGACCCUGACCCAGCCCAUCUCGGCACCGCCUUUCGCAGAGGCGGUGCUGAGCCUAUCCUCCCACAGUCCCCGCGUGCAAAUUGCAGUUUACACCCUAGGGAACCGACCUUCCCCACCUAUUUAAGGAGGGGGAGAGGGAGGCUCCAUUCAUCUCAUCACAUUCACAAUCAACACUCCACCUUCAAGGCAC
RNAcentral lists this long non-coding RNA (353 nucleotides) under Sorghum bicolor (sorghum). RNAcentral describes it as "long non-coding RNA (SBIC_LNC009081)". Lineage: Eukaryota; Viridiplantae; Streptophyta; Magnoliopsida; Poales; Poaceae. The record is from RNAcentral.